GAACGCUGGCGGCGUGCCUAAUACAUGCAAGUCGAACGCACAGCGAAAGGUGCUUGCACCUUUCAAGUGAGUGGCGAACGGGUGAGUAACACGUGGACAACCUGCCUCAAGGCUGGGGAUAACAUUUGGAAACAGAUGCUAAUACCGAAUAAAACUUAGUGUCGCAUGACACAAAGUUAAAAGGCGCUUCGGCGUCACCUAGAGAUGGAUCCGCGGUGCAUUAGUUAGUUGGUGGGGUAAAGGCCUACCAAGACAAUGAUGCAUAGCCGAGUUGAGAGACUGAUCGGCCACAUUGGGACUGAGACACGGCCCAAACUCCUACGGGAGGCUGCAGUAGGGAAUCUUCCACAAUGGGCGAAAGCCUGAUGGAGCAACGCCGCGUGUGUGAUGAAGGCUUUCGGGUCGUAAGCACUGUUAUAUGGGAAGAACAGCUAGAAUAGGAAAUGAUUUUAGUUUGACGGUACCAUACCAGAAAGGGACGGCUAAAUACGUG
Molecule: ribosomal RNA, 493 nt
Filed under: uncultured bacterium
Lineage: Bacteria
Description: bacterial SSU rRNA
Rfam family: Bacterial small subunit ribosomal RNA
Source: RNAcentral